RNAcentral lists this ribosomal RNA (424 nucleotides) under uncultured prokaryote. RNAcentral's name for it is "bacterial SSU rRNA". It matches the Rfam family "Bacterial small subunit ribosomal RNA", at positions 355 to 796 of the family's 1533-position model. The record is from RNAcentral.
UGGGGAAUAUUGGACAAUGGGCGCAAGCCUGAUCCAGCCAUGCCGCGUGAGUGAAGAAGGCCUUAGGGUUGUAAAGCUCUUUCACCCGCGAAGAUGAUGACGGUAGCGGGUGCAGAAGCCCCGGCUAACUCCGUGCCAGCAGCCGCGGUAAUACCGAGGGGGCAAGCGUUGUUCGGAAUUACUGGGCGUAAAGGGCGCGUAGGCGGACUAUUAAGUGAGCGGUGAAAUCCCGGGGCUCAACCCCGGAACUGCCUUUGAUACUGGUAGUCUUGAGUUCGAGAGAGGUGAGUGGAAUUCCGAGUGUAGAGGUGAAAUUCGUAGAUAUUCGGAGGAACACCAGUGGCGAAGGCGGCUCACUGGCUCGAUACUGACGCUGAGGUGCGAAAGUGUGGGGAGCAAACAGGAUUAGAUACCCCUGUAGUCC